UACGUAGGGUGCGAGCGUUGUCCGGAAUUACUGGGCGUAAAGAGCUCGUAGGUGGUUUGUCGCGUUGUUCGUGAAAACUCACAACUCAAUUGUGGGCGUGCGGGCGAUACGGGCAGGCUAGAGUUCGGUAGGGGAGCAGUGGAAUUCCUGGUGUAGCGGUGAAAUGCGCAGAUAUCAGGAGGAACACCAGUGGCGAAGGCGGUGCUCUGGGCCGGAACUGACGCUGAGGAGCGAAAGCGUGGGGAGCAAACAGG
This 254-nucleotide ribosomal RNA is filed under the name uncultured bacterium. RNAcentral describes it as "partial 16S ribosomal RNA". It matches the Rfam family "Bacterial small subunit ribosomal RNA", at positions 524 to 776 of the family's 1533-position model. The record is from RNAcentral.